Molecule: ribosomal RNA, 491 nt
Filed under: uncultured bacterium
Lineage: Bacteria
Description: partial 16S ribosomal RNA
Rfam family: Bacterial small subunit ribosomal RNA
Source: RNAcentral
GAUGAACGCUGGCUACAGGCUUAACACAUGCAAGUCGAGGGGAAACGACGGGGAAGCUUGCUUCCCCGGGCGUCGACCGGCGCACGGGUGAGUAACGCGUAUCCAACCUGCCUCUGACUGAGGGAUAACCCGUCGAAAGUCGGCCUAAUACCUCAUGGCAUCGUCUGCGGGCAUCCAACGACGAUUAAAGAUUUCAUCGGUCAGGGAUGGGGAUGCGUCUGAUUAGCUUGUUGGCGGGGUAACGGCCCACCAAGGCUACGAUCAGUAGGGGUUCUGAGAGGAAGGUCCCCCACAUUGGAACUGAGACACGGUCCAAACUCCUACGGGAGGCAGCAGUGAGGAAUAUUGGGCAAUGGGCGGGAGCCUGAACCAGCCAAGUAGCGUGCAGGAUGACGGCCCUAUGGGUUGUAAACUGCUUUUAUGCGGGGAUAAAGUGAGGGACGUGUCCUUCAUUGCAGGUACCGCAUGAAUAAGGACCGGCUAAUUCCGUG